Erinaceus europaeus (western European hedgehog) is the source of this 235-nucleotide long non-coding RNA. RefSeq lists it as uncharacterized. The transcript is spliced from 3 exons. The record is from RefSeq and is a predicted model, not a curated record. Lineage: Eukaryota; Metazoa; Chordata; Mammalia; Eulipotyphla; Erinaceidae.
CACCAGUCAACAAAGCGAAGUACAAAAGGGGAUAUCUCCUUGAAUGAUGAAGACAAUCAACCCUGCACAGGACCUGCUCAUGGAAAGAUGACUCCCCACCAGAAGAAUGUUGCUGAUAGCCAGAAGCCAGGGCAGAGGAAGUCAGAAUGUGUCUCAGAAGCUGCUGAGGAAUUAUGACCUCAUCCUCGGAAUGUUGGGCAUCGUUUCCAUGGGAACUGGAAGACCCUAAGCAGCC